This 387-nucleotide small RNA is filed under the name Tepidibacillus decaturensis. RNAcentral's name for it is "cspA thermoregulator". It matches the Rfam family "cspA thermoregulator", at positions 79 to 428 of the family's 428-position model. Lineage: Bacteria; Bacillati; Bacillota; Bacilli; Caryophanales; Bacillaceae. The record is from Rfam by way of RNAcentral. RNAcentral also lists the same sequence under 1 other name.
AGCGAAUUUUUUUACGAUUCCUACGCUUUUAUGAAUUACGAUUUUUUGUUUUUCCAAAAUAUUUUUUGAGAACGUGGUUAAAUUAAUUUUAUACAAUGUGUAUAAGGAAGACUUAGGAGGUUUCACAAUGCAAGGUAAAGUAAAAUGGUUUAAUUCAGAAAAAGGUUUUGGAUUCAUCGAAGUUGAUGGCGGAGACGAUGUAUUCGUUCACUUCUCAGCAAUUCAAGGUGACGGUUUCAAAACAUUAGAAGAAGGACAAAAAGUUACAUUUGAUAUCGUUGAAGGUAACCGUGGUCCUCAAGCUGCUAACGUUAUUAAGCUAUAAUUCUUAUAGAAUAUAGAAAAUAUCAGAAGCGAAAGUCUCUCUUACAACAGAGAGACUUUUUU